AAAAAAAAGUGUCAAGGGAUGGGAAUCGAACCCACGACCUUCCGCUUACCGGGCAGAUGCCAUGACCAAUAGGCUAUUUCUUU
RNAcentral lists this transfer RNA (83 nucleotides) under Cordylochernes scorpioides. RNAcentral describes it as "tRNA-Thr". Lineage: Eukaryota; Metazoa; Arthropoda; Arachnida; Pseudoscorpiones; Chernetidae. The record is from RNAcentral.